GGGAUGAAAGGUUCUGCUCAUUUUUAGCUGAUCAAAGGUUGGCCCGAAUGAAGAUUGAUGGACUAGAGGACUGGGAGAUAACUCGACGGACGGUGGAGGUCCUAUAGCUUAUCCUCUGCAGGAGUACGGCUCGGAGGGAAACUUGAUGAGCUGGUCUGGAUAAAGAUCGACUGGCUAAAAGGUCCAAAGAUAAUUCAACGGGCUGCGGAGGUUC
Molecule: long non-coding RNA, 214 nt
Filed under: Elaeis guineensis (African oil palm)
Lineage: Eukaryota; Viridiplantae; Streptophyta; Magnoliopsida; Arecales; Arecaceae
Description: long non-coding RNA (EGUI_LNC018605)
Source: RNAcentral